This 473-nucleotide ribosomal RNA is filed under the name uncultured bacterium. RNAcentral describes it as "bacterial SSU rRNA". It matches the Rfam family "Bacterial small subunit ribosomal RNA", at positions 33 to 507 of the family's 1533-position model. The record is from RNAcentral.
GACGACGCUGGCGGCGUGCCUAACACAUGCAAGUCGAGCGGGUUGAAGCGAGGGGUAACUCGAGUUUCUACCUAGCGGCGGACGGGUGAGUAACGCGUGGGCAACCUGCCUCAAGGACUGGGAUAACAGCUCGAAAGGGCUGCUAAUACCGGAUAAGCCUAUGGCCUCGCAUGGGGCCAUGAGCAAAGGGGAAACCCGCCUUGAGAUGGGCCCGCGUCCCAUCAGCUAGUUGGUGAGGUGAAGGCUCACCAAGGCGACGACGGGUAGCCGGCCUGAGAGGGUGACCGGCCACACUGGGACUGAGACACGGCCCAGACUCCUACGGGGGGCAGCAGUGGGGAAUCUUGCACAAUGGGCGAAAGCCUGAUGCAGCGACGCCGCGUGAGCGAAGAAGGCCUUCGGGUUGUAAAGCUCUGUCUGGAGGGACGAAGGAAGUGACGGUACCUCCGGAGGAAGCCACGGCUAACUACGUG